This 117-nucleotide non-coding RNA is filed under the name Pan paniscus (pygmy chimpanzee). Lineage: Eukaryota; Metazoa; Chordata; Mammalia; Primates; Hominidae. The record is from Rfam by way of RNAcentral. RNAcentral also lists the same sequence under 1 other name.
GCUGGGCGUGGUGGCUCACGCCUGUAAUCCCAGCACUUUGGGAGGCUGAGGCAGGAGGAUCACUUGAGGUCAGGAGUUUGAGACCAGCCUGGCCAACAUGGUGAAACCCCGUCUCUA